RNAcentral lists this small RNA (28 nucleotides) under Bombyx mori (domestic silkworm). RNAcentral's name for it is "ovarian small RNA-5945". The record is from RNAcentral. Lineage: Eukaryota; Metazoa; Arthropoda; Insecta; Lepidoptera; Bombycidae.
UACAGCCUAACUAUGGAUCAGGAGUUGC